GUCUCAUCCAGUUCUGGGCGGACCCAGGCAGGAGUUUCCUCGAAGGAUUAGACAUCCUAGUUCUGCAACAGGCCGCCAGGUCGAGGGUACGCUAAGAAGAAGCUGAAAGCCACCCUACUGUCCCCCAGAGGCAGGAAGCAGAGGCAGAGGCAGAGGCAGGAAGGUCACCGAGAAUUUGAGACCAGCCUGGGCUAAGAAGUGAGUUCAAGGCCAGCCUGAACUGCAUUUCAGGAUCUCAAUAUGUAGUCCAGGCUGGCCUAAAAUUCACGAUCUCCUGCCUCAGCCUCCCAG
Molecule: long non-coding RNA, 291 nt
Filed under: Heterocephalus glaber (naked mole-rat)
Lineage: Eukaryota; Metazoa; Chordata; Mammalia; Rodentia; Bathyergidae
Description: lncRNA (ENSHGLG00100039775.1)
Source: RNAcentral